CUCCUACGGGACGCAGCAGUGAGGAAUAUUGGUCAAUGGCCGCAGGGCUGAACCAGCCAAGUCGCGUGAGGGAUGACGGUCCUAUGGACUGUAAACCUCUUUUGUCAGGGAGCAAAGGGCGCCACGUGUGGCGUUUUGCGAGUACCUGAAGAAAAAGCAUCGGCUAACUCCGUGCCAGCAGCCGCGGUAAUACGGAGGAUGCGAGCGUUAUCCGGAUUUAUUGGGUUUAAAGGGUGCGCAGGCAGAAUGUCAAGUCAGCGGUAAAAUUUCGAGGCUCAACCCAGUCGUGCCGUUGAUA
RNAcentral lists this ribosomal RNA (298 nucleotides) under uncultured bacterium. RNAcentral's name for it is "partial 16S ribosomal RNA". It matches the Rfam family "Bacterial small subunit ribosomal RNA", at positions 336 to 632 of the family's 1533-position model. The record is from RNAcentral.